RNAcentral lists this ribosomal RNA (253 nucleotides) under uncultured bacterium. RNAcentral describes it as "partial 16S ribosomal RNA". It matches the Rfam family "Bacterial small subunit ribosomal RNA", at positions 524 to 776 of the family's 1533-position model. The record is from RNAcentral.
UACGGAGGGUGCAAGCGUUAUCCGGAUUUACUGGGUUUAAAGGGUGCGUAGGUGGGCAGUUAAGUCAGUGGUGAAAUCUCCGAGCUUAACUCGGAAACUGCCAUUGAUACUGUCGAUCUGGAGUAUGGAAGAGGUGAGUGGAAUUCCGAGUGUAGAGGUGAAAUUCGUAGAUAUUCGGAGGAACACCAGUGGCGAAGGCGGCUCACUGGUCCAUUACUGACGCUGAGGUGCGAAAGCGUGGGGAGCAAACAGG